This 502-nucleotide ribosomal RNA is filed under the name uncultured bacterium. RNAcentral describes it as "partial 16S ribosomal RNA". It matches the Rfam family "Bacterial small subunit ribosomal RNA", at positions 29 to 523 of the family's 1533-position model. The record is from RNAcentral.
AUUGAACGCUGGCGGCAUGCCUUACACAUGCAAGUCGAACGGCAGCAUGGGUGCUUGCACCUGAUGGCGAGUGGCGAACGGGUGAGUAAUGCAUCGGAACGUACCCGGAAGUGGGGGAUAACGUAGCGAAAGUUACGCUAAUACCGCAUAUUCUGUGAGCAGGAAAGCGGGGGAUCGCAAGACCUCGCGCUUCCGGAGCGGCCGAUGUCGGAUUAGCUGGUUGGCGGGGUAAAGGCCCACCAAGGCAACGAUCCGUAGCGGGUCUGAGAGGAUGAUCCGCCACACUGGGACUGAGACACGGCCCAGACUCCCACGGGAGGCAGCAGUGGGGAAUUUUGGACAAUGGGCGCAAGCCUGAUCCAGCCAUGCCGCGUGAGUGAAGAAGGCCUUCGGGUUGUAAAGCUCUUUCGGCUGGGAAGAAAUCGCAUCUCCUAAUACGGGGUGUGGAUGACGGUACCAGCAUAAGAAGCACCGGCUAACUACGUGCCAGCAGCCGCGGUAA